RNAcentral lists this ribosomal RNA (574 nucleotides) under uncultured bacterium. RNAcentral describes it as "partial 16S ribosomal RNA". It matches the Rfam family "Bacterial small subunit ribosomal RNA", at positions 355 to 920 of the family's 1533-position model. The record is from RNAcentral.
UGGGGAAUUUUGGACAAUGGGCGAAAGCCUGAUCCAGCAAUGCCGCGUGUGUGAAGAAGGCCUUCGGGUUGUAAAGCACUUUUGUCCGGAAAGAAAUCCUCUGGGUUAAUACCUCGGGGGGAUGACGGUACCGGAAGAAUAAGCACCGGCUAACUACGUGCCAGCAGCCGCGGUAAUACGUAGGGUGCAAGCGUUAAUCGGAAUUACUGGGCGUAAAGCGUGCGCAGGCGGUUUUGUAAGACGGAUGUGAAAUCCCCGGGCUUAACCUGGGAACUGCAUUCGUGACUGCAAGGCUAGAGUAUGGCAGAGGGGGGUAGAAUUCCACGUGUAGCAGUGAAAUGCGUAGAGAUGUGGAGGAAUACCGAUGGCGAAGGCAGCCCCCUGGGCCAAGUACUGACGCUCAUGCACGAAAGCGUGGGGAGCAAACAGGAUUAGAUACCCUGGUAGUCCACGCCCUAAACGAUGUCAACUAGUUGUUGGGGAUUCAUUUCCUUAGUAACGUAGCUAACGCGUGAAGUUGACCGCCUGGGGGAGUACGGUCGCAAGAUUAAAACUCAAAUGAAUUGACGGGGUC